RNAcentral lists this ribosomal RNA (253 nucleotides) under uncultured bacterium. RNAcentral's name for it is "partial 16S ribosomal RNA". It matches the Rfam family "Bacterial small subunit ribosomal RNA", at positions 524 to 776 of the family's 1533-position model. The record is from RNAcentral.
UACGAAGGGGGCUAGCGUUGUUCGGAAUUACUGGGCGUAAAGCGCGCGUAGGCGGUGAUCCAUGUCAGAGGUGAAAGCCCGGGGCUCAACUCCGGAAUUGCCUUUGAAACGGGAUCGCUAGAGUCCGAGAGAGGAUGGCGGAAUUCCUAGUGUAGAGGUGAAAUUCGUAGAUAUUAGGAAGAACACCGGUGGCGAAGGCGGCCAUCUGGCUCGGUACUGACGCUCAGGCGCGAAAGCGUGGGGAGCGAACAGG